RNAcentral lists this ribosomal RNA (1484 nucleotides) under uncultured Bordetella sp. RNAcentral describes it as "partial 16S-23S ribosomal RNA intergenic spacer". It matches the Rfam family "Bacterial small subunit ribosomal RNA". The record is from RNAcentral. Lineage: Bacteria; Pseudomonadati; Pseudomonadota; Betaproteobacteria; Burkholderiales; Alcaligenaceae.
GAGGGUUCGAUUCUGGCUCAGAUUGAACGCUGGCGGGAUACAUAAUAUGCAAGUCGAACGGCAGCACGGACUUCGGUCUGGUGGCGAGUGGCGAACGGGUGAGUAAUGUAUCGGAACGUGCCUAGUAGCGGGGAUAACUACGCGAAAGCGUAGCCAAUACCGCACACGGGCCCUUCGGGGGAAAGCGGGGACCUUCGGGCCUCGCACUAGAGCGGCCGAUAUCGGAUUAGCUAGUUGGUGGGGCAACGGCUCACCAAGGCGACGAUCCGCAGCUGGUUUGAGAGGACGACCAGCCACACUGGGACUGGAGACACGGCCCAGACUCCUACGGGAGGCAGCAGUGGGGAAUUUUGGACAAUGGGGGAAACCUCCGAUCCAGCCAUCCCGCGUGCGAUGAAGGCCUUCGGGUUGUAAAGCACUUUUGGCAGGAAAGAAACGGCACGGAUAAUACCCCUCAGCAACUGACGGUACCUGCAGAAUAAGCACGGCUAACUACGGUGCCAGUACGCGGUAAUACGUAGGGUGCAAGCGUUAAUCGGACCAUUGGGCGUAAAGUGCGUAGGUGGUUCGGAAAGAAAGAUGUGAAAUCCCGCAGAGCUUAACUUUGAACUGCAUUUUUAACUACCGAGUCAGAGUGCGUCAGAGGGAGGUGGACCCGCGUGUAGCAGUGAAAUGCGUAGAUAUGCGGAGGAACACCGAUGGCGAAGGCAGCCUCCCUGGGAUAACACUGACGCUCAUGCACGAAAGCGUGGGGACAAACAGGAUUUAGAUACUUGGCAGGUAGUCCACGCCCCAAACGAUGUCAACUAGCCGUUGGGGCCUUCGGCCUUGGUAGCAGCUAACGCUAGUGAAGUUGACCGCCUGGGGAGUACGGACAAGAUUAAACCCAAAGGAAUUGAUUUAAGACCCGCACAAGCGGUGGAUGAUGUGGAUUAAUUCGAUGCAACGCGAAAACCUUACCUACCCUUGAUAUGUCUGAAUCCUGAAGAGAUUUUGGGGAGGUUCGCAAGAGAACCGGAACACAGGUGCUGCAUGGCUGUCGUCAGCUCGUGUCGUGAGAUGUUGGGUUGAGUCUGCAACGAGCGCAACCCUUUGUCAUUAGUUGCUACGAAAGGGCACUCUAUCGAGACUGCCGGUACAAAACCGGCGAAGGUGGGGAUGACGUCAAGUCCUCAGCGCCUUGUGGGUAGGGCUUCACACGUCAUACAAUGGUCGUACGAGGGUCGCCAACCCGCGAGGGGGAGCUAAUCCUAGAAACCCGAUCGUAGUCCGAUCGCAGUCUGCAACUCGACUGCGUGAAGUCGGAAUCGCUAGGCAAUCGCGGAUCAGCAUGUUGCAGAACAUGUUCCUGGUCUGCACACACCGCCCGUCACACCAUGGGAGUGGGUUUUACCAGAAGUAGUUAGCCUAACCGUAAGGAGGGCGAUUACCACGGUAGGAUUCAGAUCGGGGUGAAGUCGUAUCAAGGUAACCCUGUUACUACC